RNAcentral lists this ribosomal RNA (378 nucleotides) under Triticum aestivum (bread wheat). Its description in RNAcentral is "partial small subunit ribosomal RNA". The record is from RNAcentral. Lineage: Eukaryota; Viridiplantae; Streptophyta; Magnoliopsida; Poales; Poaceae.
GUUUUGUUCCGAAGCAAAGAUAUCCGCGGAGGCCGGUUCUUUCGUCCUAUUCUGAAAUUCAGGACCAAGAGGUACUGGAUUCUCUUUCAGAUAGGCCCUGAAAGGAGAAGAAAGGCUGAAAUGCCAACGGACCUCUGUCUAUUCUCUAACUCACCCGAUCCGAUAGUACCCGUUUUUGGAACGUCCAGUGCGAGAGUCACUGAAUGGGUAAGUCACCAAUCCAAUCCCUUUGACAAAUCGGAUGUCAUAUUAGAUAUCAUAUUCUAUAUAUUAGUCGUUGCGAGUGGCUCCCGAAUCAUCAUGUACAUAAAAGAAGAUGCAAAGUCGGCGAUCGAUUCGAAACGGCUUUCACCCUGCUUUAAAAUAAUAAAGUCAUAG